CCAUCCGCACGCACCACUUCUUCCAUUAGCCGGCUGAUUAAGAUCUCGCUGCUUGCCAUCACCAAAUUGAUUCUCAAACCAUCACGGCUGAUUCAUUCCUUCCCAUUUCUCUUCGUGUAGGUACUGGCACAGUUUGCCGUUGAGCAGAGUGCGCGGACGCGUCCGUCGCAUUCUCAAGGAUGUGGAUUCUCGACGACCUCGUGGAGUCCGGCGGAGCGUUCUCAAGGGUUUCGGCCAAGAUGAUGACCUCUUCUUGGCGUACGGCUAGAGGUCCAUGGCAGAGGUGUUGUAGUUUGGCCCAGUGGAGGAGGCUGCGAGGGAAAUCACCGAGUCAUGUACUGAGUGAGUUAUUAGAUCUGACAUCUAGAGAAUACAAAUAGCAGCCGACGACCAUGAGAUGCUGGCCUUCUCAUUGUUCUUGCUGUCAGGCUACCACUAACUGUUUGUUGAGCAGCUCACUUGUGCUAGCAAGACGCCAUGGAUUUGCUUAUAUCAAAUCCUGCUAUUAAGUUACAGAUGAAGCAAGGUCUUAUCUCGUAUCACAGAGAUUGAUAGUAUCAUUUAUUGGAAUUCUGAUGCAUUACCUGGUCUGACUGGUUUCCGUGCCUCAUUGUAGUCAGAAGUGAUUUUGCGCCAAUUCUUCCAACGUCGCUUCGUCGGGCG
Triticum dicoccoides is the source of this 663-nucleotide long non-coding RNA. RefSeq lists it as uncharacterized. Lineage: Eukaryota; Viridiplantae; Streptophyta; Magnoliopsida; Poales; Poaceae. The record is from RefSeq and is a predicted model, not a curated record. The transcript has 4 exons.